RNAcentral lists this long non-coding RNA (331 nucleotides) under Citrus sinensis (sweet orange). Its description in RNAcentral is "long non-coding RNA (CSIN_LNC001424)". Lineage: Eukaryota; Viridiplantae; Streptophyta; Magnoliopsida; Sapindales; Rutaceae. The record is from RNAcentral.
UCCUAUCCGCACAGUUCAAAAAAUUUACAGUGAGCCUGACUUGGAGAACAUACCGUUUGCUGACAUGAUUUUCACUCAUUCAAGAGCAGCUGCAAACCGUCCGUUUCUACUUAUUGAACCUUCCUAUAAAAUCAGUAGUGACGAUAAAAUUAAAGCUUCAACUCGUGCAGCACGAAAUGAAGAAAAAGAUACGAAGGUUAAACCAACCUCAAAAUCUGAUUCUGAGGCACAUUCACAGGCUGGAUUGGUAUCAACUCCUGACUACAAAGAGGGCAAGGCAAUACUGACAUCUACCUCUACUCCCGGCUUGAAGCCCCAAAGUGGCAGUUUG